GACGGAGGAUGCAAGUGUUAUCCGGAAUCACUGGGCGUAAAGCGUCUGUAGGUGGUUUAAUAAGUCGACUGUUAAAUCUUGAGGCUCAACCUCAAAAUCGCAGUCGAAACUAUUAGGCUAGAGUAUAGUAGGGGUAAAGGGAAUUUCCAGUGGAGCGGUGAAAUGCGUAGAGAUUGGAAAGAACACCGAUGGCGAAGGCACUUUACUGGGCUAUUACUAACACUCAGAGACGAAAGCUAGGGUAGCAAAUGGG
This 253-nucleotide ribosomal RNA is filed under the name uncultured bacterium. Its description in RNAcentral is "partial 16S ribosomal RNA". It matches the Rfam family "Bacterial small subunit ribosomal RNA", at positions 524 to 776 of the family's 1533-position model. The record is from RNAcentral.